CGUACAUCCAGAGAAUUUAGCAGAGAUGCUUUAGUGCCUUCGGGAACUCUGAGACAGGUGCUGCAUGGCUGUCGUCAGCUCGUGUUGUGAAAUGUUGGGUUAAGUCCCGNAACGAGCGCAACCCUUAUCCUUUGUUGCCAGCACGUAAUGGUGGGAACUCAAAGGAGACUGCCGGUGAUAAACCGGAGGAAGGUGGGGAUGACGUCAAGUCAUCAUGGCCCUUACGAGUAGGGCUACACACGUGCUACAAUGGCGCAUACAAAGAGAAGCGACCUCGCGAGAGCAAGCGGACCUCAUAAAGUGCGUCGUAGUCCGGAUUGGAGUCUGCAACUCGACUCCAUGAAGUCGGAAUCGCUAGUAAUCGUAAAUCAGAAUGUUACGGUGAAUACGUUCCCGGGCCUUGUACACACCGCCCGUCACACCAUGGGAGUGGGUUGCAAAAGAAGUAGAUAGCUUAACCUUCGGGAGGGCGUUUACCACUUUGUGAUUCAUGACUGGGGUGAAGUCGUAACAAGGUAAGCGUAGUGCU
RNAcentral lists this ribosomal RNA (529 nucleotides) under uncultured bacterium. RNAcentral's name for it is "bacterial SSU rRNA". It matches the Rfam family "Bacterial small subunit ribosomal RNA", at positions 981 to 1509 of the family's 1533-position model. The record is from RNAcentral.